CAGUCGCCACGGUAAUACGUAGGUGGCAAGCGUUGUCCGGAAUUAUUGGGCGUAAAGCGCGCGCAGGCGGAUCAGUCAGUCUGUCUUAAAAGUUCGGGGCUUAACCCCGUGAUGGGAUGGAAACUGCUGAUCUAGAGUAUCGGAGAGGAAAGUGGAAUUCCUAGUGUAGCGGUGAAAUGCGUAGAUAUUAGGAAGAACACCAGUGGCGAAGGCGACUUUCUGGACGAAAACCGACGCUGAGGCGCGAAAGCCAGGGGAGCGAACGGGAUUAGAUACCCGCGUAGUCCCUGUCUCUUAUACC
RNAcentral lists this ribosomal RNA (301 nucleotides) under uncultured bacterium. RNAcentral describes it as "partial 16S ribosomal RNA". It matches the Rfam family "Bacterial small subunit ribosomal RNA", at positions 509 to 808 of the family's 1533-position model. The record is from RNAcentral.